Raphanus sativus (radish) is the source of this 2487-nucleotide RNA transcript. It is a transcript of the gene named putative B3 domain-containing protein At2g27410, with no coding region annotated. The record is from RefSeq and is a predicted model, not a curated record. NCBI's taxonomy places the organism in Eukaryota, Viridiplantae, Streptophyta, Magnoliopsida, Brassicales, Brassicaceae. The transcript is spliced from 4 exons.
UCAUUCUCUUUCGCUCUCGUUCAAAAGCUCUCCAUUCAUCUUUCUUGUUCGAUUUUCUUGCGCACAACGCAACUUCGUUCCUCUCUUGAUACGAAUCUACUUACGCUCCCAAUCAACAAAGAACCAUCGACGAAGAUGAACAACCCUGUUAGUCCUAGGGUUUCAUCACCGCCGAGUGAAUGGUGGAAGUUGCAUUUGUUGGCGGAUGUCGCCGCCGCCAUGUCGGAGUACCAAAAAGCAGAGGCCCAGAUUGGCGAAGAAGAAAAAGCCAGAAUCUUUGUCAAUUUCCCAAGAAAGAAGAGAAGCUGUCUCUUUCGUCGAUCAUCUUCGAUGUCAACACAAUGUACGACAACGUGUGUGAUCGAUAAACAGAGUUCAGUUGCUUGCGCGGAGGGUAACAAAGAAGAGAUGAGUCUCAAGAAACGCGAAAUCUUUGGUCGUUUUGAGGUGGGUUCGUGUUCAAUAUCCACACAAGAGCGAGAACUAAUCCAAAACCCUAAUUUGACUCCUCUUUCUUCCGUCUUCAACGAGUGCAAGAAACGUCGUCCUAUUAACUUCUGCCAAGAAGAAGAAGAAGAAGAAGAAGAAGAGAGAAACCUCAAGAAACGCAGAAUCGCCUCGAUCCCGGAGUGGCUCGAAGAGAUCAACGGAUACGAUCCAAAGCUGGUCUUAGCAAAGAAGCUGUACAAGAGUGAUAUCGACAAAGUCCAGUCACGUCUCUCAUUGCCUUCAAACCAAGUGGUUAAUUCAGAUUUUCUAUCGGAGGAGGAGAGCAGAGUCAUAUACGAACAGUCGGUACUCAAGAAUCGUACGGAAGGACUAAGUGUUGUUCUGGUGGAUCCUCUGUUAAAGAAGCAUGUGGUUGAUCUAAGGAAGUGGAAGAUGGGUGGAAACUGGAACUACGUCUUUGUUGAUGGUUGGAACCAAGUUGUGUCCACCAACACGUUUAAGGUCGGCAACGUCUAUCAUGUCUGGUCUUUCAGAUCCGGAGGAGUGAUAUCAUCUUCUGUAGUAGACUAAUAAGUCUAAGAUCUCAAAACCAUAUCACUGGAUAAAUAGGAAAAGCUAUCGGUGCGCCUGUCGAAGGUUCAUUAUUGGGAGUAAGCGUUCAAUGGUGUAUAUUCCCUCUUUAUUUCUUUUAACCUGAUUACAUAGCUUUCUAGAUCUUUUUCUUUGGUUGUGGUGAAUUUUAGGGAUUCCUUGUGAAGAUCUCUGAUAAUAACAAAGCCACUGAUGACUGUAAAGGUUUACUUUCUUAUUGAAAAGGUCAGCCCAUCACUUGUGUGGCAAUUUAAUUGUAAUUUGUAGGGUUCCAGUGAUGGUGCUGGAAGACUUUUAGCCGCAUAUGAUGUCGUAUCUCUCCUCAGGAGGAGAAAAUUGAAGUUGUGAACGGCAGGAAAGAUGUUGCAUCAACUGUGCACUCACUGCAACAUCGUUUAUCCCCAAGUUUGGCUCGAGCUAGAUAUCCUCCAGAAAUUGGAACACCAGUGGGAUUUGGUGUUGUAGUUGGAUUUUCCGGCUUCCGUUCUUUGAGUUACAAAUACUCGAAGUUGAUUAGCAGCAUGAGCUAGAGCAGAAUGAUAUGUGACAACAACAUUUCCUUUUACAUCUGAAAAACUAACAUGGUUGACUGGAGGAAGAAGCGAGACCAACAGAGAGAAUUAAAUUAAUAUGCGAGACAACCCUGAAGAUUUGGUUGUGGCCAUUGCUAAUCCCAUGUAAUAUGUUAGGUCCGUUGACUCUGCAAAAUUUACCAGGUCCGUUGACAUUUAGGACUGAGCAAAAGUUCAAGUGUUGUCUUCUACAUCUGCUUUGGUAUGAACACUUGCUUAGUUGCUUAGAAGCUGCUUAAGUUUCUGGGAUCCCUACCUAAUGUGUUUGCUCUGAAGUAGAAGUUGAGUGAAAAUUUACUUGACAAAAGGCAGGGUUAGUGCUAUACAGUAAACCUUAGAAUAAAUUGGUAUGAACUUUCAGUUUGCAUUCGUGUCAUUUUACUACUGCCCUUCUACUCAGUUUGAGAAAUCAGCUUUUGUGGUGUGUUGUGUAUAGAUCUUGCUCGAAAUAGAUACUGUUGUUCACGUGGAUUUGGGUUUAUCACCUUAGAAUGCUAGGGCCAUCCACGAGUCCUUCAGAGAGAUGCAUGGAACAGAGCUGAAAUGUGAAUGUGUUGCAGAUACCUAAAAGUUGAGGAUUCACGAUAGUGUUGUCCACAUGUUCUGAGUCUGACAAGAAGUGAAAACAUAAAAAAAAGUGUGAUUUUUCUGAAGAUUGAAGAUGGAAGAACCCAUUUGGUUGCUUUUGAUUUUCUUUGUUUCCUCUUUUUAGAGAAAUCUGUUGUCCAAUAUGCAGUUUUACUUUCGUUGUUAUGUGUUAGUUCGUGUAUGAAGAUCUCCUAAGAAAAAUAUCUCUGUUUUGUUUUUCCAUUGUUCUCAGCAUGUAAACGCUUGAAGUCAUGUUAUUAUCAUUUGAGAAACAAGUAACCUUAAU